This 237-nucleotide long non-coding RNA is filed under the name Mytilus galloprovincialis (Mediterranean mussel). Lineage: Eukaryota; Metazoa; Mollusca; Bivalvia; Mytilida; Mytilidae. The record is from RNAcentral.
AAAAAAAUAUGACACCAGGUCACGGUGCAGUAUGGUUUGCUAUUGCAAUAUGGUUACCUGUUUCAAAAAACGAAAUACAUAGUAUUGGAUUUCAACUUAACUUACUCCAAUCUUAUUUGACUAGGAUUGCUAGUUUUUCUAUUGAAGGUCAGUGGUUUUCUCCAGGCACUUUGGCUUCCUCAAACAAUAAAAACUGGCCACCACAAAAUAGCCUAAAUGUGGUCUUAAGGGGCUCAC